This 281-nucleotide long non-coding RNA is filed under the name Solanum tuberosum (potato). Its description in RNAcentral is "long non-coding RNA (STUB_LNC004779)". Lineage: Eukaryota; Viridiplantae; Streptophyta; Magnoliopsida; Solanales; Solanaceae. The record is from RNAcentral.
GGUGGUGGAAUAAAUUCCUAGUUCUUACUGUUUAUUGAGUCUUUUCUUUUUUAGGAUGGGUUUCUUGGCUUUUGAUUUCGGUUUCUUUUCCAAGGAUAGUCCCUUUGAACCGAGUGUCUUUUAUUUUUUUGCAAUAAUUUUUGUUUUAUAUUUUUUUUUGAGAGAAAAGAAAAGACCCUUUUGAGUGGUGUGAUACUUGCUAUUUAGGCCUAGUUUUUGAGUAGUACUUUCUUAUGAAUGCUUGAUUGAUAAGGAAAUUGUAGACUCUUUGACGAAUAAGC